RNAcentral lists this ribosomal RNA (744 nucleotides) under uncultured bacterium. RNAcentral describes it as "bacterial SSU rRNA". It matches the Rfam family "Bacterial small subunit ribosomal RNA", at positions 82 to 855 of the family's 1533-position model. The record is from RNAcentral.
GUUUUUAACUCAAGUGGCGGACGGGUGACCCAUACCAAGGAAUUUGCCUUUAGGAGGGGGAUAACAACUGGAAACGGUUGCUAAUACCCCAUAUGCUUUCGAGUGAAAUGGAUUUUUCCGCCUAAAGAGAAGCUUGCGGCUGAUUAGCUUGUUGGUAAGGUAAUGGCUUACCAAGGCGACGAUCAGUAUCUGGUUUGAGAGGACGAUCAGACACACUGGAACUGAGACACGGUCCAGACUCCUACGGGAGGCAGCAGUGGGGAAUUUUCCGCAAUGGGCGAAAGCCUGACGGAGCAAUACCGCGUGAGGGAUGACGGCCUAUGGGUUGUAAACCUCUUUUUUCAGGGAGGAAUCAAUGACGUGUACCUGAAGAAUAAGCAUCGGCUAACUCCGUGCCAGCAGCCGCGGUAAGACGGAGGAUGCAAGUGUUAUCCGGAAUCACUGGGCGUAAAGCGUCUGUAGGUGGUCAAAUAAGUCAACUGUUAAAUCUUGAGGCUCAACCUCAAAAUCGCAGUCGAAACUAUUAGACUAGAGUAUAGUAGGGGUAAAGGGAAUUUCCAGUGGAGCGGUGAAAUGCGUAGAGAUUGGAAAGAACACCGAUGGCGAAGGCACUUUACUGGGCUAUUACUAACACUGAGAGACGAAAGCUAGGGUAGCAAAUGGGAUUAGAUACCCCAGUAGUCCUAGCCGUAAACAAUGGAUACUAGAUGUUGAACAGAUCGACCUGUACAGUAUCAAAGCUAA